CGACGAAGGCACAUAAUAAAUGCAUCCGUUGAUAAAUCGCUAGCGAUUUCUAAAUGUAUUGCCUUUGUGGCAAAACAAAUAAAUAAGCAUAAAUAGCUCUUCGAUAUUUUACAACCGCGUCCCUUUCUGUCUGUGAUCAAGAACGGCCCGGCAAAAUCUACACCGCUGACUUCGAAUGGAUAACUUGGAGUAACUCUUGAAGCUGAAGAAUUUUGGAGACGGCCACCGACACGCAGGAACCCGUUAUCGUCUAGAAAUGGACUUAGAGAAAGCAGUCGCGAUUUAGAAGAUUCUACAGCCGCUCAUUUUGCACUGGAAUGAUCGAUGGCCGCCUCGGAAACAAUUCUUACAUAGACGACCGGCAGAAACCUUAGCAAUACGUUCUUCUAUUGGUAACGAUUUAAACAUACUGCAGUCAAACAACUUGUGUUUUAAACCACAAACUGUGCAAGAAAAAUCAGGAGAUGUCUUUGAGGAAAUAAUAAAUGAUUUAGAUUUAACCAUAUUGUUGCGUUUUUCAUUUUUAUUUGAUCUAUUAGCAUUGACUGUCUCUAAAACUGUUGCCCUUUGACGUAAAAAUGUAUAAAAAUUUUGUAAAGUAGGUGAUUCCUUAUUGCUUCUAAAUUCUUCCCAUUUACCCGCUGUAAUACUGUCUAAUUUACUAACUGCUAUGUAUAUAAUAAUCGUGUCCCAUGAAUCGGUCGGCUCUUCUAAACUAUUUAAUGCGCUUAAAUUUUUAGAAAAUGCAUCAAUUAAACAACGAAUACCCUUAUCUGAUUCCUUAGACAAAGGUUCGAUUGAAAAUAUCGCUUUUAAAUGCUCAUUAAUUAAUAUACGUUUAUUAUUGUACCUAUCACAUAAUAAGUUCCAAGCAAUUCGAUAAUUAGCUGCAGAAACAGCGAUAGAACUAAUAACGUCACUGGCAGCGCCAUCUAGAUAGGACUUCAAAUAGUGAAACUUAGCAACUUCUUGAAUACUUCCAUUCUCAUGAAUCAAAGACAGAAAGGUAUCCCUGAAGGUUAUCCACAUGCUGGUCUGUCCGUCGAAUCUUAAAAUAUGUAAUGGAGGUAGCUUCAGAUUUAAGGCAGACUGAGUGUUGGCAGAUGAAGUUUCAGAUUGGUUUUCAUUAUUGUAAUAUUCUAACAGAGCUUCAGCUUCAGCAAUUAAAGAAAAGAAUUUAUUUUCUGUUUGUUCGCGUUCCUCAAUUUGUUUAUCUAAAUCUUCAUCCAAUACCCACUUCUCAAUGUCUGUCUGCACCUUAUCAAAGUUAUAUGAUAGUUCACGAGUUUUUACUAGCCUUAAGUUUAAUUCAUGAAUCCUAACCUUAUUUAUUUCUCGAGUUUCCAGUAAUGGUCGUAAAUAUUUUUCAAACAAUGUUAAUUGAGCUCUAAUUGUGCUCCGUUGUUUUACUAAAUCUUUAUAGUCUGCCAUUAUUAAAGUGCAAACAAUGAAUCAAUAGGUACUGACUUAUACUGAAGUAAUUCACACAUUGAAAACAGCUCCAAGUUAAUAUGUUAUAGAACUUAGUAAAUCAAAAGUAGCUACAAAUAUAUUUGUUGAAACCUCUCUGAAUACCCGAUAAAAAACACCGGCGUGAAUUUAAAUAUGAUUUUAGUGAUCGUUAUAUCGUACUAAAAACCUCCACAUACAAUAUAAAAUGAAAUAUUAAUAGUUAAACUAAAAAUAUAUCCGUACUUUUAAUUGUCAACUUCUACCCACACAAAAAAGGAAUGGAUAGGAAUUUAUUACAAUGAUUGGGCU
Galleria mellonella (greater wax moth) is the source of this 1761-nucleotide long non-coding RNA. RefSeq lists it as uncharacterized. The record is from RefSeq and is a predicted model, not a curated record. Lineage: Eukaryota; Metazoa; Arthropoda; Insecta; Lepidoptera; Pyralidae. The transcript is spliced from 3 exons.